GGCCAAACCAGCCGCCCUGCACAGCUGUGCCUUCUUCUUGUCCUCCAGGGUCGGCUGAAAUCUCCUGCUCACCAUCAGGGGGAGCUAUGACCUCACGGGUAUGGCUGUCCACUUCCUCUGGCCCCAGAGGAGUUGCUAGAGUGAAGAUGGGGUCGUCUGCCCUGAUGAGACAGAAUGAGGGAGAACUAAACCACACUCGGUCCUGUCACUGAAGCCCCCCACCCUGUGCAGAUCCGAGUCCAGCUCCAUGGAGUCGGUCCCUGGGCCUCACCUCCUCCUGCUUCCUCUUCAGGACCCUGCUGCGGACGUGUCUCCUGCUCAGCUCCUCCGCGGUGUCUGUGUGCAGCAGCAACACGGCGGCCUCCUCCUCUGAGCGCUCGGCCUCGGGUUUCUUCAGGACUCGACCCACCUGAGGUGAACAGAUCAAACCUGCUCAGGCUGCUACACACAGUGAUGGGCUGCAGUUGUCAGCCGACCAGCACAAGCCUGCUGGUUCCUCGUCUUACCAGUCGGAAGAUCUUCCUCUCGCUCUCCCGCUCCAGUAUUCGGGCCUUUUCCAAAGCUUUUCUCUCAGCCCGCGAGGAGACACCGGUGGUCGCCACCUCUGCCAUCACGUCGCACCUCAGCUGGGGGGAAGAAUCCAUCUAUUCAAAACAAAGCUGAUGGCACCAGCGACAGACGGAUGUCAGCUCUGAGCAGAUGAGACGAGCUGCAGCGCCCUCUGCUGCAGGGAGUCCGCACGGGAUUUUUCUCAAAUUUCACAAACUUCACAGCAACAUUAAAAAAGUUAUGAAAUAUUUAUUGUCAACUGCACAAAAAUAAAUAUAAAGUAGCAUAUAAAACA
Molecule: long non-coding RNA, 844 nt
Organism: Limanda limanda (common dab)
Lineage: Eukaryota; Metazoa; Chordata; Actinopteri; Pleuronectiformes; Pleuronectidae
Exons: 2
Source: RefSeq, a predicted model, not a curated record